GGUGAUAUGGCUCAUACCGUUGUACUCUAUAGUGUAGGAGGUGGUAUAGUAUUUACGUGGUUACAUGCAGUAGAGUAGGCAACAACAGAACACCGAUGUGACACCUCUCUUUAAAUUAAAGCUUUAAGUUCGUGCGCCUGCGCAACAUUUCGGGGCUUGGAGAGUAACUGGAGGCUUUUUAGAGACCACCAUUGAUACGAGGAUUGCUCUGCAAAGAAAAAAUAACUACUACUCAAGUCCAUUUAAAUUAUUACGAGAUGCCGCUAGCCUAAUUAUCGUGAACUUGCGUUGGAACAAAUUACAACACAUUAUUGAACGGGUUGCAAUGGAGCCAACGAUUUCCUCCGUAUACAAACAAAACCGAGGCUUCUGUUUUUAAGGUGGAUAUUUAAGCUAGCAGCUACCUAGCCAGUCUACAUUGGAGUUAGUAUCUUUGUAAACACUGCGUCAGUUGUGCUAGCUAGCUAACUACCAUAACAAAGAAACAUGGGACUCGUAUAUUGUUGAAAGGAGGCAGACUCCUUUCCAUACGUUAGCUAAACAUGCGAGAAGAAAAUCGUUCUUUCUCAGGAAGGCAGCCAAUGGCAAUCGAAAGACGAGGUGAACUUUCCAGCUGUGCCUACUUCACGGAGGAGAAAGGGACAUCCGAGAGAGAUCUGCAACCCUGCAACGCUUUUCAUUUUACCUCAAAAUAAAACCCUGAGGUUCUGGAGCGAUGGAAACCGUGGGGAAAUUCGAGUUUAGCAGGAAGGAUUUGAUAGGACACGGUGCAUUUGCGGUGGUGUUCAAAGGCAGGAAUAGAGAGAAACACGACUGGGAGGUGGCCGUGAAAUGCAUAAACAAGAAGAACUUGGCAAAGUCUCAGACCCUUCUGGGGAAAGAGAUCAAAAUUCUCAAGGAACUAAAACAUGAAAACAUUGUUGCAUUACAUGACUUUCAGGAAACGGCCAGUUCUGUGUACCUGGUCAUGGAGUACUGCAAUGGUGGGGACCUGGCGGACUAUCUACACUCCAAGGGCACCCUGAGUGAGGACACUAUCCGAGUGUUCCUGCAGCAGAUAGCCGGGGCCAUGAGGGUGCUGCAGGCCAAGGGGAUCAUUCACAGAGACCUCAAACCACAGAACAUUCUGCUCUCCUACCCCGCAGGACGCAAGUCCCACUCUACCAACACCUGCAUCAAGAUAGCUGACUUUGGGUUUGCACGGUACCUUCAGAACAACAUGAUGGCUGCUACUCUGUGUGGGUCCCCUAUGUACAUGGCACCUGAAGUCAUCAUGUCUCAGAACUAUGAUGCCAAGGCUGACCUGUGGAGCAUAGGAACCAUUUUGUUCCAGUGUCUGACAGGGAAAGCCCCGUUUCAGGCUAGCAGUCCCCAGGACCUCCGGCUAUUUUAUGAGAAAAACAAGAACCUCAGCCCCAAUAUCCCCAGAGAGACCUCCUGUCCCCUGAGGCUUCUGCUGCUGGGUCUUCUGCAGCGAAACCACAAGGACCGCAUGGACUUUGAGGAGUUCUUCCGUCACCCCUUCCUGGAGGCGAGCUCGUCCAUGAAGAAAACAACUCCUGCUGUGACCAUGACGUGCUUUCCCAGCUCUGCUUCAGCCAGCUCCUGUAGCAGCUCUUCCACCUCACACCUGGCCUCCCCACCGCAGUCCCUGGCUGAGGUCCAGCAGGUCCAUACUAAGACACUCGCUUCUCCUACCCAGGAUUCCCCUGGCUUCCUCCUCAAGGACUCGUCUGGAGGGGGCUGCAGCAGUAAGAACUCCUCCUGUGACACAGACGACUUUGUCAUGGUACCCGCCCACUUUCCCACAGGUGAGCUCACCUGUGAGGGGCCUACUGGAAAGGUGUUCCACGACAGUCUGAUGAACAGCGGCUCUCUGCUAGCUUUUGGUGGCCUGGGCAGUCAGGGCAAGACCCCACCCCACUCCCCCUCCUACAGUGGCUCCCCCAAUCCUAUCAGUCGGCCUAACGAGUUCUCUGGCAGUAACUGUGGUAACUAUGGUCAGUCGGUGCCCAUUCCGGUUCCCACUCAGGUCCAAAACUACCAGCGUAUGGAGCAGAAGCUCCAUUCCCCCAGCCAGGACGGCUCCCCACGGCUGUCCACCCCAGUGCGUCGCUGUAGCAGCAAUAGUUCACUGGGAUUUGGAAGGACUGGCCCAUCUCUGCCUUACCCAGGAGGCCACGGGGCCUUGGCUGGCCUCCGCAGGCUGUCUGUAGGAGGGGCCAGACCCUUCCAGCUUUCACCUCAAGUGGGUACCAUCCCUGAGCUGCCAGGGCAGGUGCGCCCGCUGGGCACAGACACCGGUAGCGGGGGGUCGCAGGACGGAGCUCUCCAGUUCCUCGACAUGCGGCCUCCCGCUCAGCAGCAAGGCCUGGUCACCCGGCUUCACAGCGCCCCAUGUCUCCUCGAGGCUGCUAGCAGGGGCGGCAGGCAAAAUAUCAGGAAGCAGCACUCUGACCCAGUGGUGGCCAACCACCAGGCAGGCAUGGUGACUAUGCGGCCCCUGCACUCCUCCCCCAGGCUGAGUGAACUCAUGCAGCGCAGCCCCCUCCCCACCAUUCUAGGAUCUCCCUCGAGAGCCAUCCCACCCUUUGAGUUUCCAAAACCUCCCAGCACCCCCAACCUGGUGACCUUCCUGGCCCAGCAGGGCCUGGUUCUGGCCCCGCCUGGCAGCAGGACUGCCUCAGACCACAGGGACCCAGGACAGCAGGUUGGCAGGUCUCAGAGUGCAAGUCGUCUGUCUGACAUGUUGCUGAUGGCUGCAUUUGGAGGGCCGCUGGGGGAGCAGGGGAGCAAUGAGAACCUCGGCUCUAACAGAGGAGCCAUAGACAUCACAGCACCCUCUGGUGAUGGUGCCAUGGCUGCAGGCUCAGCCAGCCCAGCCCAGGUGGUGUUCACUGUGGGCUCCCCACCCAACAGCAGCACCCUACCACACACCUCCAGGACCAGGCAGUACUCAGCAGGCUCCUCCAGCUCUAUCAGCCCAGUGGGGUCCUUUACUAGCCGAUAUCAGACAGGCACCUAUCUGGAAGGCUUCGAGGAUCCCUCCAGUCCACGUUACAGCUUCACGGACCCCAUCACAGCCAACAUGGGGGGACCGGUCACCUUCCUGGCCCCUGAGCUGCCAGAGGAGACACUGAUGGCGCAGGAGCACACAGAGACCCUGAGGAGCCUUCACUUCACCCUGGACUUUGCCUGCUGUCUGAUGGAGGUGGCGGGAGUCAGGGGGACCGGGGCUGGGGCUGUGGCGGAGCAAGGGGACACCUCCCCACCCUCCCUCCUGCAGCAGCAGAGCCUGGUGGCAGACCAGAUCAGCUCCCUCAGCCGGGAGUGGAGCUAUGCGGAGCAGCUGGUGUUGUACAUGAAGACUGCAGAGCUCCUGUCGUCUGCCUUACACACAGCCAUGGAGUGCAUCAAACAGGGCAAACUGUACCCCUCUGCUACUGUCAAACAAGUGGUGAAGAGACUGAACAAGCUUUUCAAGUCCAGCGUGUCGUCCUGCCUCUCCCUCAACGCCCGGCUGGAGCGCUUCUUCUCUAGGAAGCACCGUCUCAUGGACCACAUUAACACUAUCACCGCCGAGAGGCUGCUGUUCAGCCACACCGUUCAGAUGGUGAGGGAGAUACUGUGUUCAGCUCAACACCGUUCAGAUGGUGCAGGCUGCUGCUCUGGAUGAGAUGUUCCACCAGGGAGAGGCGUCGGUGCAGCGCUACCACAAGGCCCUGCUGCUGAUGGAGGGCCUGUCCCUGCUCCUCACCGAGCACGAAGACAUCCUCAUCGUUACCAAAUGUAAGGAGUGCAUCGAGCGUCGCCUCACAGCACUACAGUCAGGGCUCUGCAUCUGAGGACUCUGCUCAGCACCCGUGGAUGCUGCUAAACUAUGAUGUCAGUCAUUCUGGACAGACACCACCAUGCCCAUUCAAUCUGACUUCCUCCCUACCAACUCAGUAUCCUCCCUCCACCCUCUAGUUUCCAUGGAGAUACCAGCCAGUGGUGGGGGCAGGGGGUGUGUUAUGAAGGGCCUGGACUGGGUAUGCUUGGGACUGGUGACGCUGGUCUCUCAUACUCACAGUGGAGCCUGUGACCGCCUGGUUGAUGUUGGAGAUGAAGGGCUUGUGAGAAGGCCACUACACACUCCUCCGUGUGUCAGACAGGACCCCACUACACGGACUGAGUGUGUUAGCUAUUCAUUUCUGUGCAGUGUCCCAUACACACAGCCUCUUACCGUCAGUAACGCUGCCCUGAGCAAUCACAGCCAAGCAGUCUGCCGGAGGAUUCUACUGCAGUCACAGACACGCUCCAUUUGAUUCUGUCAAUAAUUCAGCGCUAAGCAAUCACAAAUAGACCCUCACUUCUCUUAAGACGUGAGGUAUCACUCUAUAAGAAGCCACUCUGUGUGAAAAAUAUGAAUCUCAACCCCUACGCGGGGCAUUGUGCUAUUUUUAGUUUGGCUUGUAAUGGUGAUUUGUGGACAAUAGUAUAGCCUGAUAUUAUAGCGAGUGGGCUUAACUUGUCUGUUUUCCUCUUUUUGGUUUCUUUGAUGGUUUACAUUGAUUUAGAUUUUAUUUGUCGUUUUCGAGGAAACCAGAAGAGUUUUUAAGAGCGUUAACACAAUUGUAUGGCCUGUCACAGCCCACAGGCCUGUGUGUGGCGAAAAAAAUGUUGUGUGUUGUUAUUGACCCAGCUUAAUGUACAUUCCUGUGAUAGAACCAUAUAAAGGUGCUGUUACAGAAGUAUUGUACUUUAUUCAUCGCUGUCUGUGAUAAUUUGUCGAUGCUAAGUUUGCCGUAUUAAGAAUGACAAUGUUGCCCUUUUGGACCCAGCAGAUAGAUUUUUUUGACCAUAAACAGGAGAAUGUAGAGAGGAUUGCUGUAUGUGCCACUUCUGGGCCUUGACAGGAAAUGGACCUCACUGCGCAUUUCCUUUUGACCAAAGUGAAAUGGCUGCCAUGGUGGAAGAACAGCUGGAACUGCAUAAACCCCAUUGAGCUUUUUUAGUCUGAGUGCUUGAGAUGGAUCAUCUUAUUAAUAUUUCCUGAAGUUUGUAGCAAAUAUUGUUAUUUUAUCCAGUAUAGGCCAGGAAUAGCACUUUGUAGACCAAUCAGACAAAUGAAUAUUGCCCGAAUUGAAAAAUAAACUAAUUUGCACUGAUCUCUGACCAGACACGUGAGAUUUAGUUGAGCUUUAUUUAUUGCAUAUUUUCCCAUUCAAACUUCUUUUCGGAGUACAGCAAUCACAAUCAGUUUGUAAGACAUGUUGGCAGUAGAGUAGCAGCCCCUGUGACUGAACUACACCAGUGAUUGAUUACUGGUGUUAUAGCACUGUGUUGAGGUUUAUCAGUACUGUACAGAAAGAAGAGUGAAGGUGACUUAUAAGAUGUACAUGAAACAUUAUAUGUUCAGUUUUUCAUGUACAUAUUAGGAGAGAUUUCAGUUUAUAUAGAAUAAUUUCUAUGGGUUUUAUUGUAGUUUUAGGCGGUUUUGUUUUAGGUUUAUUCAUAGUCAGAUGUAUGAUGGGUGUCUGAAUCUUGACAGGGAAGUGUCAUAAGCUAUUACAUUUUGAAAGGUGCCUUUGAGAAGAAGACCCCCCCCCUCCUAAAAAAGAAACUGCUACAUUUGUACACUGAAAAAAUAUUUGUUGUAUGGAGUGUGUUUGUUUCAUUUCACAGUAGCCAAAAUGAGGACUUGAUGCUUGGAGUUUAUGGAAUUGUAGUGUAUCAGUUGUUCAAUGGAUAUUUGCUGGGAAGAGUUUUGCUUGAGGUGGGUGGAUGUUUCCCUAACCACAGCUCUAGGACCACAUCAUUGUAACCCCAGCAAUAACAAUUUGUGGGUAGAUAAAACAUCUGACCAUAUAUCUGACGGUGCAAUGGACCAGUGGUUAGAAGCGACUUCUACCCACUCCAAGAAGCUUGCGUGUUCCGUGUAUGCAUUUGUGUGAAACAGUGUUUGUGAAAGAGUGAAGAGCUUUUAUAUUUCCUCACUACAGGGAACUAACAGAAACGAGAGCAGUCCUGCAGCUCUGUUGCAUAUUGAGCUAUGGAUCCUACCUGACCGCCUUGUUCGUCAUGGGUAGAGCAGUAUGAGGAAGGGAGCAUUUUCCCCUGUGAAGAUUGUCUGAAUAUUUUGGUUUCCCCAUAGAUGCUUUCUGGCCAGUCAGUAAAAAGUCUAUUUUUUUCUUACUCUGAAAUGUUUCAUUUGCAUAGAGCGUAUGUCAAUGCAUUAAUGUCUAGUUUAUAUUAUACACAUUCCAGAUGAUUAUGUCAUGUCUAGUGACCCGUAUGCUUCUUGUCAGCCAGUGUGAUUCCUACGGAUCAGCUAGUGUAAAGUGGGAAAUGUUCAACGAGUGGCUGGUAGCAAGGCAAUGGUAGACCUUUAAGCUUUUUAUGCAUGUGUCACUUUUUUCUUUUGUUUCUUACAAUUAGUAGCCUAAAGCCACAUAAAUGGCAAAUAAAUCACUCUGUAGAAGAAUUACAACUUAGGUGGUUAAUUGAAAAGCCCAUGACGUAAAAGCUUGAUCUGCACGCCAAUGCUUAGGUGACACUAAAAAUACAUGCCCACUUCCAUAAGGGAUAUCACUGAAAAUACAAGGUUUUGCCAUACAACCUGAGAGGUUUGCAGUUUUGCUUCUAUGCUUUAUAAAUGCAGUAUACCUGCAAGUUUGUUCCACACUGCUAAUUUACCUUACUAUCUCAGACUCUGUAUCAAAAAAAAAAGUAUGUUAUUGCUCUGAAUGUGUUUAUAUUACAAAGCAUGGAUAGAAUCCCCCCCCCCCCCACACACACACACACCUUUCAAAACAUCUUUCAAAAGAAUAGUAUUAGAACAAUCCCAGUAAAUUCUAGAUUUUAGUUCAAGAGUUCCAGUGAGCUCCAAAAUUAUUGGGGUUUGACACUUUUUUUGACUGUGCUCCAGCACUUUGGAUUUGAAAUUAUACAAUGACUAUGAGGUUAAAGUGCAGACUGUCAGCUUUAAUUUGAAGGUAUUUUCAUCUAUAUCCCCAAUGAAGGUGCCACAUAUACGUAUAUUAAAGUAGUCAAAUGUUUUGUUAUUUGGUCCCAUAUUCCUAGUACACCGGGAUUACGUGUGUGAGUCUACAAACUUGUUGGAUGCAUUUGCUGUUUGUUUUGGUUGAGUUUGAUUAUUUUGUGCCUGAUAGAAAUGGUAUUGUCAUUUUGGAGUCACUUUUAUUGUAAAUAAGAAUAUAAUAUGUUCUGAACACUUCUACAUUCAUAUGGAUGCUACUAUGAUUAUGAAUACUCCUGAAUAAUGAUGCGUGGGAAAGUUACAGAAGCACAAAUAUCAAAUAAAAGUCACUCAAAUUACACAAUACAUCAUUUACCAUGAAUUUCUAUUGGGCACAAAAUAAUCAAACGACAAAUGCACAAGUUUGUAGAGUCACAAGCUUGAUGUAAUCAUUGCGUUCGAGAAAUAUGGGACCAAAUACUACACUUUUGACUACUUCAAUACACAUAAGUCAAUUUGUCCCAAUACUUUUGGUCCCCUAAAAGGGGGAGACAAUGUACAAAAAGUGCUGUAAUUUCUAAAUGGUUAAAUACCCUCAAAUGGAAGCUGACAGUCUGCACUUUAACCUCAGUCAUUGUAUCAUUUCACAUCCAAAGUUCUGGAGUACAGAGCCAAAACAACAACAGUGUCACUGUACUUUUGGAGCUCACUGUAUAUCUCUGACUGUUGUACACUUAAGCCUGUCAAAGAUUUUUAAAAACUAUACACAUUUAAAUGUCUGUGUGAUGUAUCAUUUUUUGGUUUAAAAUAAUAAAAUUGUGCAAGAAAUUAA
This is an RNA transcript of Oncorhynchus mykiss (rainbow trout), 7793 nucleotides long. It is a transcript of the gene named unc-51 like autophagy activating kinase 1, with no coding region annotated. NCBI's taxonomy places the organism in Eukaryota, Metazoa, Chordata, Actinopteri, Salmoniformes, Salmonidae. The record is from RefSeq and is a predicted model, not a curated record.